This 910-nucleotide ribosomal RNA is filed under the name uncultured Entoloma. RNAcentral describes it as "eukaryotic LSU rRNA". It matches the Rfam family "Eukaryotic large subunit ribosomal RNA", at positions 21 to 917 of the family's 3401-position model. The record is from RNAcentral. Lineage: Eukaryota; Fungi; Basidiomycota; Agaricomycetes; Agaricales; Entolomataceae.
UUAUACCCGUGUGAAUAAGCAUAUCAAUAAGCGGAGGAAAAGAAACUAACAAGGAUUCCCCUAGUAACUGCGAGUGAAGCGGGAAAAGCUCAAAUUUAAAAUCUGGUAGUCUUUGGCUGCCCGAGUUGUAAUCUAGAGAAGCGUUAUCCGCGUUGGACCGUGUAUAAGUCUCCUGGAAUGGAGCGUCAUAGAGGGUGAGAAUCCCGUCUUUGACACGGACUACCAGGGCUUUGUGAUGCGCUCUCAAAGAGUCGAGUUGUUUGGGAAUGCAGCUCUAAAUGGGUGGUAAAUUCCAUCUAAAGCUAAAUAUUGGCGAGAGACCGAUAGCGAACAAGUACCGUGAGGGAAAGAUGAAAAGAACUUUGGAAAGAGAGUUAAACAGUACGUGAAAUUGUUGAAAGGGAAACGCUUGAAGUCAGUCGCGUUGACCAGGGAUCAACCUUGCUUUUGCUUGGUGUACUUCCUGAUUAACGGGUCAGCAUCAAUUUUGACCAGUGGAAAAAGUUCGAGGGAAUGUGGCAUCUUCGGAUGUGUUAUAGCCCUUGGUCGUAUACAUUGGUUGGGAUUGAGGAACUCAGCACGCCGCAAGGCCGGGUUUUAACCACGUUCGUGCUUAGGAUGCUGGCAUAAUGGCUUUAAUCGACCCGUCUUGAAACACGGACCAAGGAGUCUAACAUGCCUGCGAGUGUUUGGGUGGAAAACCCAAGCGCGUAAUGAAAGUGAAAGUUGGGAUCUCUGUCGUGGGGAGCACCGACGCCCGGACCAGACCUUCUGUGACGGAUCCGCGGUAGAGCAUGUAUGUUGGGACCCGAAAGAUGGUGAACUAUGCCUGAAUAGGGUGAAGCCAGAGGAAACUCUGGUGGAGGCUCGUAGCGAUUCUGACGUGCAAAUCGAUCGUCGCGUCUGGCCC